GACGAACGCUGGCGGCGUGCUUAACACAUGCAAGUCGAGCGGUAAGGCCCUUUCGGGGGUACACGAGCGGCGAACGGGUGAGUAACACGUGGGUGACCUGCCCUCAGCUCUGGGAUAAGCCCGGGAAACUGGGUCUAAUACCGGAUAUGACUUCAUGACGCAUGUUGUGGAGUGGAAAGCCUUGUGCGGCUGAGGAUGGGCCCGCGGCCUAUCAGCUUGUUGGUGGGGGUGA
Molecule: ribosomal RNA, 232 nt
Filed under: uncultured bacterium
Lineage: Bacteria
Description: partial 16S ribosomal RNA
Rfam family: Bacterial small subunit ribosomal RNA
Source: RNAcentral